GCAGAUAUAGUAUAAAGGUUAGUACUAUAGACUUCCAAUCUUUAGGUGAGAGUUCGAGUCUCUCUAUCUGCUC
RNAcentral lists this transfer RNA (73 nucleotides) under uncultured phage cr112_1. RNAcentral describes it as "crAssphage cr112_1 tRNA-Gly". It matches the Rfam family "tRNA". From Rfam's summary of the family: Transfer RNA (tRNA) molecules are approximately 80 nucleotides in length. Their secondary structure includes four short double-helical elements and three loops (D, anti-codon, and T loops). Further hydrogen bonds mediate the characteristic L-shaped molecular structure. tRNAs have two regions of fundamental functional importance: the anti-codon, which is responsible for specific mRNA codon recognition, and the 3' end, to which the tRNAs corresponding amino acid is attached (by aminoacyl-tRNA synthetases). tRNAs cope with the degeneracy of the genetic code in two manners: having more than one tRNA (with a specific anti-codon) for a particular amino acid; and 'wobble' base-pairing, i.e. permitting non-standard base-pairing at the 3rd anti-codon position. Lineage: Duplodnaviria; Heunggongvirae; Uroviricota; Caudoviricetes; Crassvirales; Steigviridae. The record is from RNAcentral.